AUAAAGGUUAUGAUAAGGUAAAGUAAAUCUAAUACACAUACAGAGAGGGGCUUUUAUAAGCUGAGAGAAGCCUUAUGUCAAUUUUAGAUUGAAGUGCACCUUUGAACUGUUGCCUGAAAUAUUAGUAGGGUUAGCCGGGGAAGCGCCGUUAUUGCUUUUACAAGGUGGGGCAUAUAUGCUCAAUUAGAGUGGAACCGCGGGAUUAUACCGUCUCUUUA
RNAcentral lists this non-coding RNA (218 nucleotides) under Proteiniborus sp. Its description in RNAcentral is "T-box sequence". It matches the Rfam family "T-box leader". From Rfam's summary of the family: Uncharged tRNA acts as the effector for transcription antitermination of genes in the T-box leader family. T-boxes are found upstream of many aminoacyl-tRNA synthetase genes and some amino acid biosynthetic genes usually in Gram-positive bacteria. Lineage: Bacteria; Bacillati; Bacillota; Clostridia; Eubacteriales. The record is from RNAcentral.